This 468-nucleotide ribosomal RNA is filed under the name uncultured bacterium. RNAcentral's name for it is "partial 16S ribosomal RNA". It matches the Rfam family "Bacterial small subunit ribosomal RNA", at positions 28 to 507 of the family's 1533-position model. The record is from RNAcentral.
GACGAACGCUGGCGGCGUGCUUAACACAUGCAAGUCGAACGGAAAGGCCCUGCUUUUGUGGGGUGCUCGAGUGGCGAACGGGUGAGUAACCCGUGAGUAACCUGCCCUUUACUUUGGGAUAACUUCAGGCAACUGGGGCUAAUACCUGAUAGGAGCUCCUGCUGCAUGGUGGGGUUUGGAAAGUUUCGGCGGUUGGGGAUGGACUCGCGGCUUAUCAGCUUGUUGGUGGGGUAGUGGCUUACCAAGGCUUUGACGGGUAGCCGGCCUGAGAGGGUGACCGGCCACAUUGGGACUGAGAUACGGACCAGACUCCUACGGGAGGCAGCAGUGGGGAAUAUUGCACAAUGGGCGGAAGCCUGAUGCAGAAACGCCGCGUGCGGGAUGACGGCCUUCGGGUUGUAAACCGCUUUCGCCUGUGACGAAGCGUGAGUGACGGUAAUGGGUAAAGAAGCACCGGCUAACUACGUG